This is a non-coding RNA of Potamilus streckersoni, 74 nucleotides long. The record is from the annotation of a GenBank genome assembly. Lineage: Eukaryota; Metazoa; Mollusca; Bivalvia; Unionida; Unionidae.
CACUCCAGUGGCCUAGUGGUCAGAGCAUCUGCCUCAGAUGUGUAAGGUCACAGGUUCAAACCCCGGCCGAGUCA